CCCCCAACUAGCUUAUUGCUAGUCUCUAGCAAUUAACGAGCAAAUAAUAAAAUAAGAGUGCAAAAGGUGUGGUUUAACCUAUGAUGUUUUAUUAGAACUAAUUGCAUAAAAUUAAGAUAAGUACUCACUUUCGUAGGAAUCACGAUUGCACUUAGCAUGUGCAACAAGCCGUUAAACCCUAGGUUACCCUAGUGGACGAGUGUUAUCUCGUGAGGGUUUUCAGGGAUGUUACCCACAAACAUCAUGAAUUAUAUAACAUGAGAUUCUAAUAAAAAUAUGAAAUAAAUCUUAAGCUAAUACACAUGUAAUUAAUUGAUAUAUAUUUUCAAGCAUGGCAACUGUCAAAGCAAGGAGAUAUAAAAGUGUAGUGUGCAUCAAAUCGCAUGACUUUCUCAGAGUACUAAUACCUCCACCACAAUAGGGCACCGCCUGAGUUUUAGGUGCACUACUCAAGUCCACAAGUAUUUUCUACAAUUUAUUAGAACCUGAUCCAUCAAAUUUU
RNAcentral lists this long non-coding RNA (502 nucleotides) under Phoenix dactylifera (date palm). Its description in RNAcentral is "long non-coding RNA (PDAC_LNC006545)". The record is from RNAcentral. Lineage: Eukaryota; Viridiplantae; Streptophyta; Magnoliopsida; Arecales; Arecaceae.